GCGCUGGCAACCAGACUUGCGCGUCGGGGUUCCCCCUUGCUUCUGCCUGGGCUACUCCCCGGCGUUCAGGCCAACAUCGGUUUUGGGGGUCGGUUAAAGGCUCCGGGAAUGUACCUACUCUUCGGGGUAGACUUAUAGCCCGGGGUGUCAUGCGGCCACCCGGGACCGAGGAACGCGCUUCGGCUCGGAUGUUGGCGUAAUGGUUGUCAGCGACCCGUCUUGAAACACGGACCAAGGAGUC
Molecule: ribosomal RNA, 241 nt
Filed under: Cyphellophora livistonae
Lineage: Eukaryota; Fungi; Ascomycota; Eurotiomycetes; Chaetothyriales; Cyphellophoraceae
Description: partial large subunit ribosomal RNA
Source: RNAcentral